Molecule: non-coding RNA, 105 nt
Organism: Danio rerio (zebrafish)
Lineage: Eukaryota; Metazoa; Chordata; Actinopteri; Cypriniformes; Danionidae
Source: Rfam
GCCGGCAGCUAGCUCUCAAAUGGUCGCCCACUGAAGCUAGGCAGGGCUGCGCCCGGUCAGUACCUGGAUAGGAGACCACAUGGGAAAGCUAGGUUGCUGCCGGAA